CCUACGGGGGGCAGCAGUAGGGAAUCUUCCACAAUGGGCGAAAGCCUGAUGGAGCAACGCCGCGUGGGUGAAGAAGGUCUUCGGAUCGUAAAACCCUGUUGUUAGAGAAGAAAGUGCGUGAGAGUAACUGUUCACGUUUCGACGGUAUCUAACCAGAAAGCCACGGCUAACUACGUGCCAGCAGCCGCGGUAAUACGUAGGUGGCAAGCGUUAUCCGGAUUUAUUGGGCGUAAAGGGAACGCAGGCGGUCUUUUAAGUCUGAUGUGAAAGCGUUCGGCUUAACCGGAGUAGUGCAUUGGAAACUGGGAGACUUGAGUGCAGAAGAGGAGAGUGGAAUGCGAUGUGUAGCGGUGAAAUGCGUAGAUAUAUGGCAGAACACCAGUGGCGAAAGCGGCUCUCUGGCCUGUAACUGACGCUGAGGUUCGAAAGCGUGGGUAGCAAACAGGAUUAGAUACCCGUGUAGUC
Molecule: ribosomal RNA, 465 nt
Filed under: uncultured bacterium
Lineage: Bacteria
Description: partial 16S ribosomal RNA
Rfam family: Bacterial small subunit ribosomal RNA
Source: RNAcentral